AUGCUUGGAUUUAUAUUUAUGCAAAUCUUUAUAUUUUAUUUAAAUCUACUGAGAUAUAUUUUUAUUAUAUUUGACUAUAUGGGAUUCUAUUAUGUUUUGGGUUCAUCACACUAAGCGAAAUUAAUCUUUUUACUUAUGUCUUGAAACCUAUUUGACAUACGAAUUUGCAUGUCUUGUCUUAACUUUUGGAAGCCUUAUUUUAUUUGGUUUCGUAUGACCAUAACUUGGGAAUGACCCAACUUUAAUUUAUGUCAUUUUAUGUUAUUAUGUGUAUUAUUGGAUAAUGAACCCAACAACUAAUUGUUUAAUGACAUACAUAAUGAAUUAUUAGCCUAAUUUACAUAAAUAUUUCAUUUCUGGCCCAAAGGUGUUAUGUUAUAUUUAUGUGUUUUACCUUAUUGUGUAUGUAUGUUCAUCAUGAUACAUGAAUUUUGGUCAAACCAAAGCGAAGCCAGAGUUCAUGUAGAACACUAAAGACGGUCUAUUAUUUAUAUCGUUCA
This 500-nucleotide long non-coding RNA is filed under the name Helianthus annuus (common sunflower). Lineage: Eukaryota; Viridiplantae; Streptophyta; Magnoliopsida; Asterales; Asteraceae. The record is from RNAcentral.